UCCGCCAUGGGGUAACUGGUAGCCCGCGAGCCUUUGAAGCUCUGUAGUGCUGGUUCGAAUCCAGCUGGCGGAGC
RNAcentral lists this transfer RNA (74 nucleotides) under Streptomyces albogriseolus. RNAcentral describes it as "tRNA-Gln". It matches the Rfam family "tRNA". From Rfam's summary of the family: Transfer RNA (tRNA) molecules are approximately 80 nucleotides in length. Lineage: Bacteria; Bacillati; Actinomycetota; Actinomycetes; Kitasatosporales; Streptomycetaceae. The record is from RNAcentral. RNAcentral also lists the same sequence under 8 other names.